GCCCAGAUAGCUCAGUUGGUAGAGCAGAGGACUGAAAAUCCUCGUGUCGCUGGUUCGAUUCCGGCCUUGGGCA
This 73-nucleotide transfer RNA is filed under the name Sellimonas intestinalis. It matches the Rfam family "tRNA". From Rfam's summary of the family: Transfer RNA (tRNA) molecules are approximately 80 nucleotides in length. The record is from Rfam by way of RNAcentral. Lineage: Bacteria; Bacillati; Bacillota; Clostridia; Lachnospirales; Lachnospiraceae.